This 253-nucleotide ribosomal RNA is filed under the name uncultured bacterium. Its description in RNAcentral is "partial 16S ribosomal RNA". It matches the Rfam family "Bacterial small subunit ribosomal RNA", at positions 524 to 776 of the family's 1533-position model. The record is from RNAcentral.
UACGUAGGGUGCAAGCGUUAAUCGGAAUUACUGGGCGUAAAGCGUGCGCAGGCGGUUUUGUAAGUCAGACGUGAAAUCCCCGGGCUUAACCUGGGAAUUGCGUUGGAGACUGCAAGGCUAGAAUCUGGCAGAGGGGGGUAGAAUUCCACGUGUAGCAGUGAAAUGCGUAGAGAUGUGGAGGAACACCGAUGGCGAAGGCAGCCCCCUGGGUCAAGAUUGACGCUCAUGCACGAAAGCGUGGGGAGCAAACAGG